Molecule: ribosomal RNA, 407 nt
Filed under: uncultured bacterium
Lineage: Bacteria
Description: partial 16S ribosomal RNA
Rfam family: Bacterial small subunit ribosomal RNA
Source: RNAcentral
AUUGAACGCUGGCUGCAGGCCUAACACAUGCAAGUCGAGCGGAGCUGGGGACGGGCGCGUAAUGCCUAGGCAUCUGCCUGGUCGUGGGGGAUCACGUCCGGAAACGGGCGCUAAUAACACAUACUAUAAGAUGAGACUAGGUCGGAUUAGCUAGUUGGUGGGGUAAAGGCCAACCAAGGCGACGAUCCGUAACUGGUCUGAGAGGAUGAUCAGUCACACUGGAACUGAGACACGGUCCAGACUCCUACGGGAGGCAGCAGUGGGGAAUAGUGGACAAUGGGCGAAAGCCUGAUCCAGCCAUGCCGCGUGUGUGAAGAAGGUCUGCGGAUUGUAAAGCACUUUAAGUUGGGAGGCGUUACCAACAGAAUAAGCACCGGCUAACUUCGUGCCAGCAGCCGCGGUAAUUC